UAUAAGAAGCGAUUUACUUAUGCAUCAAUGAGGGAUGAAGGGAUUCAGAAAUAAUAAGAUAAGUGUACUCUGCUAUUUCAGUUUGACAUUUAUUUUUUUCAUUUUAUGAACUUGUAUAAUGGAGUAUUUUUAUUUUUUUGGUAAAGAUAAGAAAUUUGGAUCUUAAGAAGACAUAAGAAGAGUAGAAGACGAACCUGAAAAGGCAUAAAACAAUAACAAUAUUUGGAUCUUAAGAAGGAAAACAGCAGAGUAGAAGACAAACAUGUGAAGACAUUAAAAAAGAUAAGUGCACCACUCUUUUGUUGUUAGUUCUUCUCUUGAUAUCCUUUUUGUUCUGUUUAUGUUUUCUAUUUUAUUCUUGUGUUCUGUUCACCUUAAAUUAACUGACCAAACUCAUAAUUCGAAAUAUAUUGGUUAGGUAUUUGAUGAGAAGGGGAUUACAAAAGAGACAGCAAAUUACGAACUCAAAAAGUCUCACAUAACCAAGUUCAGAAAGAAAGGAAUUGGGAUGCGCUGUCUUUCAAACGUGAGCUGACUUGGAUAUGUUCCGAUACAGGGCUGUCAUUCGUUUGUUUAUCAGAAAACACUACAACAAACAACAACUCAUAUGCGAGACGUCAGGUACUCUGUUUAGAUUGAGAUUGUCUAGGAUUCAAUUGACCAUUUCCUCCUAGUCGAGAAAUCUGCUUCCUUUUCAUCCUGUGCAUAGAAAGAGAUUGUGCUUCAAGUGCAGGAUCAAAAUAUCAUGAUGAACUGGGCGCAUGGUGGUCUUUGGGUACAUCUAAAUGCAUUAUGGGUACCACAUUACCGUGCCAAAGAUGAAUUGGUGACGUUUGAGUUGCUUAUGAUGGCGAUUUUGUAUUCAUGGCUCGUAGGUCGGUACUUUCCACCAGCUGGAGUUACUGAGAAAUUCUCAAUGAACCUCCAGUUUCCAAGCUGCAGUUUCUUAACGCGCUGAUAGAAGAGUUUCUUACAGAUUGGAAUAUAAACUAAGAAGAUGGAUCAUGUGUUAUUGCAUUAGUGCUGGUAUGUAGCCCAAUGGUAGUUUGUGUAUGUACUCUAUUAUUCACAUGUAAAUGAAUAGCCCAAUGCAUUUUAAGGGAAAUGAAUUGUCGAUGGUUAGAGUUUAGUAGGUUUUGGUUUAAUUUAAAAGAUCCGGUUCAUUAUGUAUGAAUAAUGAGACCUGUUUUAAAGAACGUUUUAUGUUUGGUUUAUAUUAA
Long non-coding RNA from Raphanus sativus (radish), 1220 nucleotides. RefSeq lists it as uncharacterized. NCBI's taxonomy places the organism in Eukaryota, Viridiplantae, Streptophyta, Magnoliopsida, Brassicales, Brassicaceae. The record is from RefSeq and is a predicted model, not a curated record. The transcript has 8 exons.